This 1338-nucleotide ribosomal RNA is filed under the name Escherichia coli. RNAcentral's name for it is "bacterial LSU rRNA". It matches the Rfam family "Bacterial large subunit ribosomal RNA", at positions 1 to 1369 of the family's 2925-position model. Lineage: Bacteria; Pseudomonadati; Pseudomonadota; Gammaproteobacteria; Enterobacterales; Enterobacteriaceae. The record is from RNAcentral.
GGGUUGUGAGGUUAAGCGACUAAGCGUACACGGUGGAUGCCCUGGCAGUCAGAGGCGAUGAAGGACGUGCUAAUCUGCGAUAAGCGUCGGUAAGGUGAUAUGAACCGUUAUAACCGGCGAUUUCCGAAUGGGGAAACCCAGUGUGUUUCGACACACUAUCAUUAACUGAAUCCAUAGGUUAAUGAGGCGAACCGGGGGAACUGAAACAUCUAAGUACCCCGAGGAAAAGAAAUCAACCGAGAUUCCCCCAGUAGCGGCGAGCGAACGGGGAGCAGCCCAGAGCCUGAAUCAGUGUGUGUGUUAGUGGAAGCGUCUGGAAAGGCGUGCGAUACAGGGUGACAGCCCCGUACACAAAAAUGCACAUGCUGUGAGCUCGAUGAGUAGGGCGGGACACGUGGUAUCCUGUCUGAAUAUGGGGGGACCAUCCUCCAAGGCUAAAUACUCCUGACUGACCGAUAGUGAACCAGUACCGUGAGGGAAAGGCGAAAAGAACCCCGGCGAGGGGAGUGAAAAAGAACCUGAAACCGUGUACGUACAAGCAGUGGGAGCACGCUUAGGCGUGUGACUGCGUACCUUUUGUAUAAUGGGUCAGCGACUUAUAUUCUGUAGCAAGGUUAACCGAAUAGGGGAGCCGAAGGGAAACCGAGUCUUAACUGGGCGUUAAGUUGCAGGGUAUAGACCCGAAACCCGGUGAUCUAGCCAUGGGCAGGUUGAAGGUUGGGUAACACUAACUGGAGGACCGAACCGACUAAUGUUGAAAAAUUAGCGGAUGACUUGUGGCUGGGGGUGAAAGGCCAAUCAAACCGGGAGAUAGCUGGUUCUCCCCGAAAGCUAUUUAGGUAGCGCCUCGUGAAUUCAUCUCCGGGGGUAGAGCACUGUUUCGGCAAGGGGGUCAUCCCGACUUACCAACCCGAUGCAAACUGCGAAUACCGGAGAAUGUUAUCACGGGAGACACACGGCGGGUGCUAACGUCCGUCGUGAAGAGGGAAACAACCCAGACCGCCAGCUAAGGUCCCAAAGUCAUGGUUAAGUGGGAAACGAUGUGGGAAGGCCCAGACAGCCAGGAUGUUGGCUUAGAAGCAGCCAUCAUUUAAAGAAAGCGUAAUAGCUCACUGGUCGAGUCGGCCUGCGCGGAAGAUGUAACGGGGCUAAACCAUGCACCGAAGCUGCGGCAGCGACGCUGAUGCGUUGUUGGGUAGGGGAGCGUUCUGUAAGCCUGCGAAGGUGUGCUGUGAGGCAUGCUGGAGGUAUCAGAAGUGCGAAUGCUGACAUAAGUAACGAUAAAGCGGGUGAAAAGCCCGCUCGCCGGAAGACCAAGGGUUCCUGUCCAACGUUAAU